This 375-nucleotide ribosomal RNA is filed under the name uncultured organism. Its description in RNAcentral is "partial 16S ribosomal RNA". It matches the Rfam family "Bacterial small subunit ribosomal RNA", at positions 527 to 896 of the family's 1533-position model. The record is from RNAcentral.
GGAGGGUGCAAGCGUUGUUCGGAAUUAUUGGGCGUAAAGAGCGUGUAGGCGGUCCGGUAAGUCAGAUGUGAAAGCCCUGGGCUCAACCCAGGAAGUGCAUUUGAAACUACCAGACUUGAGUACGGGAGAGGAGGGGGGAAUUCCCGGUGUAGAGGUGAAAUUCGUAGAUAUCGGGAGGAAUACCAGUGGCGAAGGCGCCCCUCUGGACCGAUACUGACGCUGAGACGCGAAAGCGUGGGGAGCAAACAGAAUUAGAUACCCUGGGUAGUCCACGCCGUAAACGAUGAGCACUAGGUGUAGCGGGUAUUGACCCCCCUGCUGUGCCGUAGCUAACGCAUUAAGUGCUCCGCCUGGGGGACUACGGUCGCAAGACUA